RNAcentral lists this small RNA (559 nucleotides) under Pan troglodytes (chimpanzee). RNAcentral describes it as "processed transcript". The record is from RNAcentral. Lineage: Eukaryota; Metazoa; Chordata; Mammalia; Primates; Hominidae.
GCCGCGCCGCACGCCCAGCGGCCGCCCGGACCCGCCGGCCGGAGCUGACCCAGUGGGCCACGGGCUCCGGACUCCAGAACUUUCCAAGCGGGGGCAACUUGGCGGCGGGUAGGUAGGAAAGGCAGGAUUGCUGUCACGUCUAAUGUGGCUGCUGCCUCGUGUCACAUCUGAAACUCAUCUGUACCUCACUUAGAAAGUCGACAGAAACCUAAUGGGACCAUUGAAGAAUUCCAAACAGGUAUUUGCAUAGGAAUCAGAGGAGUUAAUCUUGUCUCUUCUCACAGGUUUGAAUCUUCAGACAAACUUCUGGGAGGACUCGGUCCCUGCCUCGCAGCAGAUGUUCCCUGUCACUCAGUAGCCAAUCCGGGGGACCCAGGACAUGCCCCAGCUAUAGUGAUGCAGAUUACCUUUCUGCUCCUGAAUCGCACCUGUGCCUCAGACUUUCUCCCCUCAGCUUGAGACUGCAUGUAAACUGGGAUGUGUGAAAGCAGGAAGCAAAGCUAGUGACAGCUGAGAGGUCCAUGUCUGGGUAGAACCAGGCCCACGAUGCUGCCUCUCC